Molecule: long non-coding RNA, 1252 nt
Filed under: Bemisia tabaci
Lineage: Eukaryota; Metazoa; Arthropoda; Insecta; Hemiptera; Aleyrodidae
Description: lncRNA ENSSSA2NGG007594
Source: RNAcentral
AAAUAAGCGAGCUAUUAGAGCUUCAUUAUUUUGAACCGUUGGUACCUUCGGCUGAAGAGUAUUUUACUCAUUAUCACAGUUUUCCCUUUUCUUGGGUGUUACUUUACGAACCUGAGGAGUAUUUUACUCAUUAUCACAGUUUUCCCUUUUCUUCGGUGUUACUUUACGAACCAUCUGCAAAAAAAAUUAAUUAGCUACUAAGAUAAGCAUUUCACAAAAAAAAAAAAAUCACAUCUUUAAAAGAAUACAGAAAAAUUCUAGACUAUUGAAUUGCCGCCGAAGCGUGUGUGCCUCGGUCGCGAUUACAGAGGUGCAAUGGUUCGGCACAGGUAUAAAAUUCAAUGCGUUUCAAUGAAUGGUCGGGAAGAUAAAGGUUCAAUGGUUUGGAACCCGCACGACGUUUAAUGUGCUGCUUUAAAAGCUUCUUGUGAAGAACGAAGCUGGGCAUUGAACGCAUUUGAGUAGCCUUUCAUUAGUAUGAGUACCAGUAUGACAUCUUAAGUUUUUCAACUUAAAUGCAGCAGGACAAUGUUCACAUUUAAAUUGCCUCUCAUCAGAAUGUAUUACCAUAUGCAAUUUUAAGCUAUUCUUUAAUUUAAAUGAUGCAGAGCAGAGUUCACAUUUGAAUGGCCUCUCAUCAGAAUUUUUUUCGCUGUUUUAAAGCUGUUAAAAGCUAAUCUCUCUAUCGAAAAAUCAUUGAGAAGAAUGCACAGAUAUCAGAGCCGAGCAGGAAAAGUAUGUUCUAAAAACACGCACCUGGUGUAUGCAAUUCAGCACGGAGACCAAGAUAACAUUCUUCAAGUGACUAGCGCGUAAUGCCUUUUAGGUCCUGCUAUCAAGUCUUGUAUGUUUCUUGCAUAUAUUUUGUAUAGUGUUUCGACUUUUAAGGUCCCAUUUAAUGCCAAUUUGGCUGGCUUUCAUUCGUUGCCAUUUGCAGGCACAAUGUGGCUGCCAAGCGCCUCACCACCCUCUACUGCACAACAGGCGUAGAGUUUAUCUCCAUUCAUGUUUUGACAGACGUUCUUCAUUCUAUAAAAAAGGAAUACAACCGUAGCAAAUCUGAAAGAGGCAAAGAUCAUUUGUAUGAUUAGUUUCCUUUCGAAAGAAGUGAUGCGGUGUAACGUGAUCUUUUGCUGCAAAUGCAACUGAAUGUUGACGAAGAACAUUACCGAAAUUACUGCUCUGUACUAUGAAACUACCUUCAAAUGGAUGGUUACUUUCUGAAAGUACUUCCGAAAUGACAGAGGAAAUU